ACGCUCGACACCUACGGGAGGCUGCAGUAGGGAAUCUUCCACAAUGGGCGCAAGCCUGAUGGAGCAACACCGCGUGAGUGAAGAAGGGUUUCGGCUCGUAAAGCUCUGUUGUUGGAGAAGAACGUGCGUGAGAGUAACUGUUCACGCAGUGACGGUAUCCAACCAGAAAGUCACGGCUAACUACGUGCCGGCAGCCGCGGUAAUCUGAGCGGGCUGGCAAGGC
RNAcentral lists this ribosomal RNA (223 nucleotides) under uncultured bacterium. Its description in RNAcentral is "partial 16S ribosomal RNA". It matches the Rfam family "Bacterial small subunit ribosomal RNA", at positions 328 to 539 of the family's 1533-position model. The record is from RNAcentral.